CGGCGGACGGCUGAGUAACGCGUAGGAACGUACCCCAAAGUGAGGGAUAAGCACCAGAAAUGGUGUCUAAUACCGCAUGUGCUCCACGGAGUAAAGCUUCGGCGCUUUGGGAACGGCCUGCGUAAGAUUAGCUUGUUGGUGAGGUAAUGGCUCACCAAGGCGACGAUCUUUAGCUGGUCUGAGAGGAUGAUCAGCCAGACUGGGACUGAGAACGGCCCAG
RNAcentral lists this ribosomal RNA (220 nucleotides) under uncultured bacterium. RNAcentral describes it as "partial 16S ribosomal RNA". It matches the Rfam family "Bacterial small subunit ribosomal RNA", at positions 96 to 334 of the family's 1533-position model. The record is from RNAcentral.